GAUGAACGCUGGCGGCGUGCUUAACACAUGCAAGUCGAACGACGAAGCCCAGCUUGCUGGGUGGAUUAGUGGCGAACGGGUGAGUAACACGUGAGUAACCUGCCCUUAACUCUGGGAUAAGCCUGGGAAACUGGGUCUAAUACCGGAUAGGAGCGUCCACCGCAUGGUGGGUGUUGGAAAGAUUUAUCGGUUUUGGAUGGACUCGCGGCCUAUCAGCUUGUUGGUGAGGUAAUGGCUCACCAAGGCGACGACGGGUAGCCGGCCUGAGAGGGUGACCGGCCACACUGGGACUGAGACACGGCCCAGACUCCUACGGGAGGCAGCAGUGGGGAAUAUUGCACAAUGGGCGAAAGCCUGAUGCAGCGACGCCGCGUGAGGGAUGACGGCCUUCGGGUUGUAAACCUCUUUCAGUAGGGAAGAAGCGAAAGUGACGGUACCUGCAGAAGAAGCACCGGCUAACUACGUG
RNAcentral lists this ribosomal RNA (466 nucleotides) under uncultured bacterium. RNAcentral's name for it is "partial 16S ribosomal RNA". It matches the Rfam family "Bacterial small subunit ribosomal RNA", at positions 28 to 507 of the family's 1533-position model. The record is from RNAcentral.